GGAUGUUCAGCGGCGCAAGGGUGCGUAACACGUGGGUAAUCUGCCGUGAAGCCUGGAAUAACUCGCUGAAAGGCGAGCUAAUACCGGAUGUGACGUUUGGAAGGCAUCUUUUGAACUUCAAAGCUGGGGACCGUAAGGCCUGGCACUUCACGAUGAGCCCGCGGCCUAUCAGCUAGUUGGUGAGGUAAUGGCUCACCAAGGCUAAGACGGGUAGCUGGUCUGAGAGGACGACCAGCCACACUGGAACUGAGACACGGUCCAGACACCUACGGGUGGCAGCAGUCGAGAAUUUUUCACAAUGGGCGAAAGCCUGAUGGAGCGACGCCGCGUGGGGGAUGAAUGGCUUCGGCCCGUAAACCCCUGUCAUUUGCGAACAAGUUGCUUCACCUAACACGUGAAGCAUUGAUAGUAGCGAAAGAGGAAGGGACGGCUAACUCUGUGCCAGCAGCCGCGGUAAUACAGAGGUCCCAAGCGUUGUUCGGAUUCACUGGGCGUAAAGGGUGCGUAGGCGGUCGGGUAAGUCUGACGUGAAAUCUCCAAGCUCAACUUGGAAAUGGCGUCGGAUACUAUUCGUCUCGAGGAAUGGAGGGGAGACUGGAAUUCUCGGUGUAGCAGUGAAAUGCGUAGAUAUCGAGAGGAACACCAGUGGCGAAGGCGAGUCUCUGGACAUUUCCUGACGCUGAGGCACGAAAGCCAGGGGAGCAAACGGGAUUAGAUACCCCGGUAGUCCUGGCCCUAAACGGUGCACGUUUGCUGUAAGAGGAAUCGACCCCUUUUGUGGCGAAGCUAACGCGUUAAACGUGCCGCCUGGGAAGUACGGCCGCAAGGUUAAAACUCAAAGAAAUUGA
RNAcentral lists this ribosomal RNA (848 nucleotides) under uncultured bacterium. Its description in RNAcentral is "bacterial SSU rRNA". It matches the Rfam family "Bacterial small subunit ribosomal RNA", at positions 86 to 913 of the family's 1533-position model. The record is from RNAcentral.